This is a long non-coding RNA of Mytilus trossulus (common blue mussel), 502 nucleotides long. RefSeq lists it as uncharacterized. Lineage: Eukaryota; Metazoa; Mollusca; Bivalvia; Mytilida; Mytilidae. The transcript is spliced from 4 exons. The record is from RefSeq and is a predicted model, not a curated record.
CUCCUAUGUGGAGAUAGAUUUGAACGCUUUUAUUUACAUUUAUCUGCGAAAGAAAAUACACGUCGUGCUCAGUUGCUGAAGUGGCUCUCUUUCUAGUCCUUAAGAGCACACAUAACAAAAACAUGUGAAUGAAAUACCAUACAACAUUUUGCAAGGAUUUAGAGUUCAUUGGUGAAAAUGGAAGAAAGGACAUGGGUACAUCUAAUUUUAAAUGAAAUAACAAGAAUAGUUAAAUGAUUUACAACCAAGCAGGACUCAGCAAUAGUGAUGAAAAGUGAAACAAGAUUUUUGAUAGAUAGAAAUUAGAAGAAAAGGAAAAGGUUAAACAAGAUUUAGUGCCUGCCACACAAUUAAGAAAGAAUGAGAGGCAAGAAUGUCUACAGAACAGAGGAGAUUAUUUGUACUGCACUUCGAUUUGUGUUUUAGUUAUAUUCAAUUAGUAUUAAAGAGUUAUGUACAAUAAAUCAUGUUAUAUUAUGUUCUUUAAAAAAUACUUUAUGUC